Molecule: ribosomal RNA, 710 nt
Filed under: uncultured bacterium
Lineage: Bacteria
Description: bacterial SSU rRNA
Rfam family: Bacterial small subunit ribosomal RNA
Source: RNAcentral
CCUGCCUCAAAGAGGGGGACAACAGUUGGAAACGACUGCUAAUACCGCAUAAGCCCACGACCCGGCAUCGGGUUGAGGGAAAAGGAGCAAUCCGCUUUGAGAUGGCCUCGCGUCCGAUUAGCUAGUUGGUGAGGUAACGGCCCACCAAGGCGACGAUCGGUAGCCGGACUGAGAGGUUGAACGGCCACAUUGGGACUGAGACACGGCCCAGACUCCUACGGGAGGCAGCAGUGGGGAAUAUUGCACAAUGGGGGAAACCCUGAUGCAGCGACGCCGCGUGGAGGAAGAAGGUCUUCGGAUUGUAAACUCCUGUUGCUGAGGAAGAUAAUGACGGUACUCAACAAGGAAGUGACGGCUAACUACGUGCCAGCAGCCGCGGUAAAACGUAGGUCACAAGCGUUGUCCGGAAUUACUGGGUGUAAAGGGAGCGCAGGCGGGAAGACAAGUUGGAAGUGAAAUCCAUGGGCUCAACCCAUGAACUGCUUUCAAAACUGUUUUUCUUGAGUAGUGCAGAGGUAGGCGGAAUUCCCGGUGUAGCGGUGGAAUGCGUAGAUAUCGGGAGGAACACCAGUGGCGAAGGCGGCCUACUGGGCACCAACUGACGCUGAGGCUCGAAAGUGUGGGUAGCAAACAGGAUUAGAUACCCUGGUAGUCCACACCGUAAACGAUGAUUACUAGGUGUUGGAGGAUUGACCCCUUCAGUGCCGCAG